CUGGAGUUGAAGCUCAGUGGUAGAGUGCUUGCCUCAUACGUGUGAGGCGCUGGGUUCAAUUCCUAGCACUACAUA
Molecule: transfer RNA, 75 nt
Filed under: Marmota monax (woodchuck)
Lineage: Eukaryota; Metazoa; Chordata; Mammalia; Rodentia; Sciuridae
Description: tRNA.Met
Rfam family: tRNA (bases 8-68)
About the family: Transfer RNA (tRNA) molecules are approximately 80 nucleotides in length. Their secondary structure includes four short double-helical elements and three loops (D, anti-codon, and T loops). Further hydrogen bonds mediate the characteristic L-shaped molecular structure. tRNAs have two regions of fundamental functional importance: the anti-codon, which is responsible for specific mRNA codon recognition, and the 3' end, to which the tRNAs corresponding amino acid is attached (by aminoacyl-tRNA synthetases). tRNAs cope with the degeneracy of the genetic code in two manners: having more than one tRNA (with a specific anti-codon) for a particular amino acid; and 'wobble' base-pairing, i.e. permitting non-standard base-pairing at the 3rd anti-codon position.
Source: RNAcentral